This 384-nucleotide ribosomal RNA is filed under the name uncultured Mollicutes bacterium. Its description in RNAcentral is "bacterial SSU rRNA". It matches the Rfam family "Bacterial small subunit ribosomal RNA", at positions 998 to 1382 of the family's 1533-position model. The record is from RNAcentral. Lineage: Bacteria; Bacillati; Mycoplasmatota; Mollicutes.
CGUAUGAAAGUACGUUUCACCUCGGGUGACAGGGAGACAGGUGGUGCAUGGUUGUCGUCAGCUCGUGUCGUGAGAUGUUGGGUUAAGUCCCGCAACGAGCGCAACCCUCAUUGUUAGUUACUACCAUUCAGUUGAGGACUCUAAUGAGACUGCCAACGACAAGUUGGAGGAAGGUGGGGGAUGACGUCAAAUCAUCAUGCCCUUUAUGACCUGGGCUACAAACGUACUACAAUGGCCAAUACAAAGAGAUGCGAAGCGGUGACGUGGAGCGAACCUCAGAAAGUUGGUCUCAGUUCAGAUUGAAGUCUGCAACUCGACUUCAUGAAGGCGGAAUCGCUAGUAAUCGCGGGUCAGCAGACCGCGGUGAAUACGUUCCCGGGUUUU